ACAACCACAAAUUGCUUUAGAAUCCCCUUUACACUGUGGGUUUGCUGGUGUGCUGGCAUUUAUUUCAGCUUCACAGUGUGGUUAAAAAUAACUAUCAGUUGGCAAAAUUCUCACCAGCCCUUGCUGUUCUCCAUGUCACAGUGGUAAUGGAUCUGAUGGCUGAGGCGGGACGGUGUUAUAUCCAAACCAGAUUCUAUGCAGUGAGUCACUUGGUGGCUGUGCUGUUAAAAGACAGGUG
Molecule: long non-coding RNA, 238 nt
Filed under: Ornithorhynchus anatinus (platypus)
Lineage: Eukaryota; Metazoa; Chordata; Mammalia; Monotremata; Ornithorhynchidae
Description: lncRNA (ENSOANG00000046091.1)
Source: RNAcentral